Molecule: ribosomal RNA, 389 nt
Filed under: uncultured bacterium
Lineage: Bacteria
Description: bacterial SSU rRNA
Rfam family: Bacterial small subunit ribosomal RNA
Source: RNAcentral
GACGAACGCUGGCGGCGUGCUUAACACAUGCAAGUCGAACGGUGAAGGAAGAGCUUGCUCUUCCGGAUCAGUGGCGAACGGGUGAGUAACACGUGGGCAACCUGCCCUGACUCUGGGAUAACUCCUCGAAAGAGGUGCUAAUACCGGAUACGACCACUUCGGACAUCCGAUGGUGGUGGAAAGUUUUUCGGUCAGGGAUGGGCCCGCGGCCUAUCAGCUAGUUGGUGGGGUAAUGGCCUACCAAGGCGACGACGGGUAGCCGGCCUGAGAGGGCGACCGGCCACACUGGGACUGAGACACGGCCCAGACUCCUACGGGAGGCAGCAGUGGGGAAUAUUGCGCAAUGGGCGAAAGCCUGACGCAGCGACGCCGCGUGAGGGAUGAAGGCC